Molecule: ribosomal RNA, 253 nt
Filed under: uncultured bacterium
Lineage: Bacteria
Description: partial 16S ribosomal RNA
Rfam family: Bacterial small subunit ribosomal RNA
Source: RNAcentral
UACGUAGGGUGCAAGCGUUGUCCGGAAUUAUUGGGCGUAAAGAGCUCGUAGGCGGUCUGUCACGUCGGCUGUGAAAUCCCGAGGCUCAACCUCGGGUCUGCAGUCGAUACGGGCAAACUAGAGUAUUGCAGGGGAGACUGGAAUUCCUGGUGUAGCGGUGAAAUGCGCAGAUAUCAGGAGGAACACCGGUGGCGAAGGCGGGUCUCUGGGCAAUAACUGACGCUGAGGAGCGGAAGCGUGGGGAGCGAACAGG